UACGGAGGGUGCGAGCGUUGUUCGGAAUCACUGGGCGUAAAGGGCGUGUAGGCGGUCCGCUAAGUCUGAUGUGAAAGCCCGGGGCUCACCCCCGGAAGUGCAUUGGAAACUGGCGGACUCGAGUCCCGGAGAGGAGGGUGGAAUUCCUGGUGUAGCGGUGAAAUGCGUAGAUAUCAGGAGGAACACCGGUGGCGAAGGCGGCCCUCUGGACGGUGACUGACGGUGAGACGCGAAAGCGUGGGGAGCAAACAGG
Molecule: ribosomal RNA, 253 nt
Filed under: uncultured bacterium
Lineage: Bacteria
Description: partial 16S ribosomal RNA
Rfam family: Bacterial small subunit ribosomal RNA
Source: RNAcentral